This 253-nucleotide ribosomal RNA is filed under the name uncultured bacterium. Its description in RNAcentral is "partial 16S ribosomal RNA". It matches the Rfam family "Bacterial small subunit ribosomal RNA", at positions 524 to 776 of the family's 1533-position model. The record is from RNAcentral.
UACAGAGGGUGCAAGCGUUAAUCGGAAUUACUGGGCGUAAAGGGCGCGUAGGUGGUUGAUUAAGUCAGAUGUGAAAACCCUGGGCUUAACUUAGGAAUUGCAUUUGAAACUGAUCGACUAGAGUUUGGGAGAGGGAAGUGGAAUUUCCGGUGUAGCGGUGAAAUGCGUAGAUAUCGGAAGGAACAUCAGUGGCGAAGGCGGGUCUCUGGACAGUUCCUGACGCUGAGGCACGAAGGUCAGGGGAGCAAACGGG